GUUUACGAAGAGCAGUUACCUUAGAAUGCACACAGGAGAAUGUAAUGAGCAGAGAUAUAUUCAGUCUUAUUAAAGUAUGUGUUAAUGUGAAAUAGACAUGUGCAAUUAGUUUCGAAUGUAAAUUCGGACAAUUUUAGCAAUUCGUACAUUCGGUAAUGUCCAAAUUACCGAAUUUUGGAAGUACCGAAUAGAUCCGAAUUGCCAAAGUGUCGAAUUACCGAAGUGCCGAACUGAAUUGUCGAAUUUCAGAAGUGCCGAAG
Molecule: non-coding RNA, 260 nt
Organism: Pelobates cultripes (western spadefoot toad)
Lineage: Eukaryota; Metazoa; Chordata; Amphibia; Anura; Pelobatidae
Source: the annotation of a GenBank genome assembly